This 259-nucleotide ribosomal RNA is filed under the name uncultured bacterium. Its description in RNAcentral is "partial 16S ribosomal RNA". It matches the Rfam family "Bacterial small subunit ribosomal RNA", at positions 524 to 776 of the family's 1533-position model. The record is from RNAcentral.
UACGAAGGGGGCUAGCGUUGCUUCGGAAUCACUGGGCGUAAAGCGCACGUAGGCGGAUCUUUAAGUCAGGGGUGAAAUCCCAAGGCUCAACCUUGGAACUGCCUUUGAUACUGGGGAUCUCGAGUCCGGAAGGAGGUGAGGUAGGAACUGCGAGUGUAGGAGGUGAAAAUUCGUAGAUAUUCGCAAGAACACCAGUGGCGAAGGCGGCUCACUGGUCCGGUACUGACGCUGAGGUGCGAAAGCGUGGGGAGCAAACAGG